RNAcentral lists this unclassified non-coding RNA (236 nucleotides) under plant metagenome. RNAcentral's name for it is "partial contains small subunit ribosomal RNA, internal transcribed spacer 1, and 5.8S ribosomal RNA". The record is from RNAcentral.
UUUCCGUAGGUGAACCUGCGGAAGGAUCAUUACUGAGUGAGGGCCCCUCGGGGUCCAACCUCCCACCCGUGUUUAACGAACCUUGUUGCUUCGGCGGGCCCGCCUCACGGCCGCCGGGGGGCAUCUGCCCCCGGGCCCGCGCCCGCCGAAGCCACCUGUGAACGCUGUCUGAAGUAUGCAGUCUGAGACAAUUAUUAAAUUAAUCAAAACUUUCAACAACGGAUCUCUUGGUUCCG